Molecule: ribosomal RNA, 274 nt
Filed under: uncultured bacterium
Lineage: Bacteria
Description: partial 16S ribosomal RNA
Rfam family: Bacterial small subunit ribosomal RNA
Source: RNAcentral
AUACGGAGGGGGCUAGCGUUGUUCGGAAUUACUGGGCGUAAAGCGCGCGUAGGCGGAUCGUUAAGUCAGGGGUGAAAGCCCGGAGCUCAACUCCGGAACUGCCCUUGAUACUGGCGAUCUCGAGUCCGAGAGAGGUGAGCGGAAUUCCUAGUGUAGAGGUGAAAUUCGUAGAUAUUAGGAGGAACACCAGUGGCGAAGGCGGCUCACUGGCCCGGUACUGACGCUGAGGUGCGAAAGCGUGGGGAGCAAACAGUAUUAGAUACCCUUGUAGUCC